Long non-coding RNA from Scophthalmus maximus (turbot), 461 nucleotides. RefSeq lists it as uncharacterized. The record is from RefSeq and is a predicted model, not a curated record. NCBI's taxonomy places the organism in Eukaryota, Metazoa, Chordata, Actinopteri, Pleuronectiformes, Scophthalmidae. The transcript has 3 exons.
CCACUUCCGCUCCGGGUGCACUGAAUCACAACGUCUAGACGACGAGGCCUGGACCACAACACCACGCCUCCCUCUCCUCGCCCCGCAUUGUCGCACCUCGAGCCCUGAGAUUCAAACCCCUCCGAGAAACUCGUCUGCAUGAGAUUUGACCACGACACAAAACGUUUCAAACCAUCCCGGACAUUUGAGGAUGAAGAUGAAAUCCCUGCCGGGCCUGUUCUUGGUCGACCUGUGCAGUAACCAAAACACUGCUCAUUUUCGCUUUCCUUCACAAGGCAACACUUGCACUGUGUAUAAAUGUAUAUAGCUAUUUAAAAAAAAAAAAAUUCCGCCUCCAUUGUUUAUUGUUUAUUUUUGCUAUAUUUGUGAUGUUUCUACAUCUUUCCUGAUGCUGCUGCUGUAACAAGCGAAUUUCCCCCGGCGUGGGAUCAAUAAAGUCUAUCUUACCUUAUCUUAACUCA